Molecule: ribosomal RNA, 116 nt
Filed under: Cronobacter dublinensis subsp. dublinensis LMG 23823
Lineage: Bacteria; Pseudomonadati; Pseudomonadota; Gammaproteobacteria; Enterobacterales; Enterobacteriaceae
Source: RNAcentral
CCUGGCGGCUGUAGCGCGGUGGUCCCACCUGACCCCAUGCCGAACUCAGAAGUGAAACGCCGUAGCGCCGAUGGUAGUGUGGGGCCUCCCCAUGCGAGAGUAGGGAACUGCCAGUC